Small nuclear RNA from Echinops telfairi (small Madagascar hedgehog), 103 nucleotides. The record is from RefSeq and is a predicted model, not a curated record. NCBI's taxonomy places the organism in Eukaryota, Metazoa, Chordata, Mammalia, Afrosoricida, Tenrecidae.
UUGCUUCAGUAGCACAUGUAUUAAAAGGGGAAAAAUACAGAGAAGUUUACCAUUGACCUUGCUCAAAGAUAGCAUGCAAAUUAGUGAAUUGUUCCAACUAUGG